GGUGGGCUGCAGCCCCGCGAGGUCUGGGCCAGGUAGACUGGAAGGGGCGGAGGUAACUGGGAGCGGGCAGCGGAGGCCGCCCCGCGGCCCCCGCCCGCUCCACGCCGCGCUCGCUGCACGCGUGCGGGGAGAGGACGCGGCCAGCUGCGUUCCGAGAUCCGGCACCGCCGCUGCUUCUCCGCCAGGCGCCGGGCGUCCCCGCCACUCUCAAUCCGAAGUCGGCCACUAUGGAGGCGCAGGCUCGAGGAUGAAGUCUCUUUAGUGGAUGAUUACCACCUGACUGCCUGCAUUGGGUUUCCUGGGACACAUCGCCAUGGUUUAGAGCUGCUGUGUGUGUGUGCUAAGUCGCUUCAGUCGUGUCUGACUCUUUGUGGCAGUAUGAACUGUAGCCCACCAGGCUCCUCUGUCCGUGGGAUUCAACAGGCGAGAAUACUGGAACGGGUUGCCAUGCCCCGCUCCGGGGGAUCUUCCCAACCCAGGAAUGGAACCGCAGGCUCCUGCAUUGCAGGUGAAUUCUUUACUGCUGAGCCCUGGGGAAGCCCUUAGAGUUGCCAGCACCUGUUAAACUCCUGAGGUGCAUCUUUCUAAAAGAAUGUACAUUUUAAAGCCACUGAUUAUUAUUUAAACCCUUCUUUCAGUCAUUUUACUUGAAGACUUUGGUUUUGUGGUUUUGUUUGCCACCACCUGGAGAAGAAGUUUAAAAAAGGACCAGGAGCUUUCCUGUUUAUAUGUUUGUGUGUGUGUGUUAGAUGCUCAGUUGUAUCCAACACUUUGCGACCCCAUCGACUGUAUGUAGCCUGCCAGGUUCUUUGAUUCAUGGGAUUCUCCAGGCAAGAAUACUGGAGUGGAUUGUCAUUUCCUUCUC
Molecule: long non-coding RNA, 865 nt
Filed under: Capra hircus (goat)
Lineage: Eukaryota; Metazoa; Chordata; Mammalia; Artiodactyla; Bovidae
Description: lncRNA (ENSCHIG00010023450.1)
Source: RNAcentral